This 253-nucleotide ribosomal RNA is filed under the name uncultured prokaryote. RNAcentral's name for it is "partial 16S ribosomal RNA". It matches the Rfam family "Bacterial small subunit ribosomal RNA", at positions 524 to 776 of the family's 1533-position model. The record is from RNAcentral.
GACGAGCCUCACAAACGUUAUUCGGAAUUACUGGGCUUAAAGGGUGCGUAGGUGGCGAGGUUAGUCAGGUGUGAAAUCUCGGGGCUCAACCCCGAAACUGCACUUGAUACUGCCUUGCUAGAGUACUGGAGAGGAGAUUGGAAUUUACGGUGUAGCAGUGAAAUGCGUAGAUAUCGUAAGGAAGACCAGUGGCGAAGGCGAAUCUCUGGACAGUUACUGACACUGAGGCACGAAGGCCAGGGGAGCAAACGGG